GAUGAACGCUGGCGGCGUGCCUAAUACAUGCGAGUCGAGCGAACAGACGAGGAGCUUGCUCCUUUGACGUUAGCGGCGGACGGGUGAGUAACACGUAGGUAACCUACCUAUAAGACUGGGAUAACUUCGGGAAACCGGAGCUAAUACCGGAUAAUAUUUCGAACCGCAUGGUUCGAUAGUGAAAGAUGGCUUUGCUAUCACUUAUAGAUGGACCUGCGCCGUAUUAGCUAGUUGGUAAGGUAACGGCUUACCAAGGCAACGAUACGUAGCCGACCUGAGAGGGUGAUCGGCCACACUGGAACUGAGCCACGGUCCAGACUCCUACGGGAGGCAGCAGUAGGGAAUCUUCCGCAAUGGGCGAAAGCCUGACGGAGCAACGCCGCGUGAGUGAUGAAGGUCUUCGGAUCGUAAAACUCUGUUAUUAGGGAAGAACAAACGUGUAAGUAACUGUGCACGUCUUGACGGUACCUAAUCAGAAAGCCACGGCUAACUACGUG
This 497-nucleotide ribosomal RNA is filed under the name uncultured bacterium. RNAcentral's name for it is "partial 16S ribosomal RNA". It matches the Rfam family "Bacterial small subunit ribosomal RNA", at positions 28 to 507 of the family's 1533-position model. The record is from RNAcentral.